RNAcentral lists this ribosomal RNA (412 nucleotides) under Pseudohelice balssi. RNAcentral's name for it is "partial 12S ribosomal RNA". Lineage: Eukaryota; Metazoa; Arthropoda; Malacostraca; Decapoda; Varunidae. The record is from RNAcentral.
UCUAAAACAGAAAGGAGAACCUAAACUAAAUUAGUAAAAGAUAAAUACUUAAAAUUUAAAAAAUUUGGCGGCAAUUUAAUCUUUUCAGAGGAACCUGUUUUAGAAUCGAUAAACCACGAAAAAUCUUACUUGGCCUUGUUUGUUGACAGUUUGUAUACCAUCAUUAUCAGAUAAUUCUUAAAGGAAAAAUUAUUAAAUAUAGUUAUUUAAAAAAAUUAGAUCAUGGUGCAGUUUAUGGCCAAGGUAAAAUGGGUUACAAUAAAUUAUUUUAUUGCGAAUUAACAAAAUAAUUUUGUUAUGAAGAAGGAUUUGAUUGUAUUAGUAGAUUUAAUAAGCUAUUAAGAUAUAAGUUCUAAAUUGUGUACAUAUCCGCCCGUCGCUUUCAUUUAUAAGUGAAGUAAGUCGUAACAUA